RNAcentral lists this ribosomal RNA (424 nucleotides) under uncultured bacterium. RNAcentral describes it as "partial 16S ribosomal RNA". It matches the Rfam family "Bacterial small subunit ribosomal RNA", at positions 360 to 776 of the family's 1533-position model. The record is from RNAcentral.
AAUAUUGUACAAUGGGCGCAAGCCUGAUCCAGCCAUACCGCGUGAGUGAAGAAGGCCUUCGGGUUGUUAAGCUCUUUUGUUGGGAAAGAAAUCCUGUCGGUUAAUACCCGGUAGGGAUCACGGUACCCAAAGAAUAGGCACCGGCUAACUGCGUGCCAGGCACCGCGGUAAUACGAAGGGUGCAAGCGUUACUAGGAAUUACUGGGCGUAAAGCGUGCGUAGGUGGUUUGUUAAGUCUGAUGUGAAAGCCCCGGGCUCAACCUGGGAAUUGCAUUGGAUACUGGCAAGCUAGAGUGCGGUAGAGGGUAGUGGAAUUCCCGGUGUAGCAGUGAAAUGCGUAGAGAUCGGGAGGAACAUCUGUGGCGAAGGCGACUGCCUGGACCAGCACUGACACUGAGGCACGAAAGCGUGGGGAGCAAACAGG